GCNNUNNNUCCAGCUNCAAUAGCNUAUNNUAAAGCUGCNGCGNNUAAAAAGCUCGUAGUUGGAUCUCAGUUGCGGGCGGGUGGUGCAUCUACCCGGUGUGACAGCCCGAGCUGAACAUCUUGCCUUCUAUCCUCUGGUGUCCUUCACUGGAUGCCUUUGGGUGGUCGGUGCAUUUACUUUGAAAAAAUUGGAGUGCUCAACGCAGGCGAAGUGCCUGAACACUUAUGCAUGGAAUAAUAGAACAAGACCCCGUUUCUGUUCUGUUGGUUUUUGGAAAACGGGGUAAUGAUCAAGAGGGACGGCCGGGGGCAUUCGUAUUGCGGCGCUAGAGGUGAAAUUCUUGGACCGUCGCAAGACGAACUACAGCGAAAGCAUUUGCCAAGAAUGUUUUCAUUGAUCAAGAACGAAAGUUAGAGGUUCGAAGGCGAUCAGAUACCGCCCUAGUUCUAACCAUAAACGAUGCCAACCAGCAUUCCGCCUGAGUUACUCCAAUGACUCUGCGGGCAGCCUCCGGGAAACCAAAGUAUUUGGGUUCCGGGGGAAGUAUGGUUGCAAAGCUGAAA
This 563-nucleotide ribosomal RNA is filed under the name Alectorobius capensis. RNAcentral describes it as "Ornithodoros capensis partial 18S ribosomal RNA". It matches the Rfam family "Eukaryotic small subunit ribosomal RNA", at positions 576 to 1142 of the family's 1831-position model. Lineage: Eukaryota; Metazoa; Arthropoda; Arachnida; Ixodida; Argasidae. The record is from RNAcentral.